GAUAAUUAAAGAGAGAGAGAGAGAGAGAGAGAGAGAGAGAGAGAGAGAGAGUGAGAACAAAAGAAUGGAAUUCAAUGUAAAGAAACAAAAGAGACAAGCCUUUUUUUCCUCUCAACCUCUCUCUCUCUCUUCUCUCUUCUCUCUCUUCCUCUCUUUAA
This 158-nucleotide microRNA precursor is filed under the name Prunus dulcis (almond). Its description in RNAcentral is "sRNA ncRNA". Lineage: Eukaryota; Viridiplantae; Streptophyta; Magnoliopsida; Rosales; Rosaceae. The record is from RNAcentral.